UACGUAGGGUGCAAGCGUUGUCCGGAAUUAUUGGGCGUAAAGAGCUCGUAGGCGGUCUGUCGCGUCUGCUGUGAAAACUCGGGGCUUAACCCCGGGCCUGCAGUGGGUACGGGCAGACUAGAGUGCGGUAGGGGAGACUGGAAUUCCUGGUGUAGCGGUGAAAUGCGCAGAUAUCAGGAGGAACACCGGUGGCGAAGGCGGAUCUCUGGGCCGAUACUGACGCUGAGGAGCGAAAGCGUGGGGAGCGAACAGG
Molecule: ribosomal RNA, 253 nt
Filed under: uncultured bacterium
Lineage: Bacteria
Description: partial 16S ribosomal RNA
Rfam family: Bacterial small subunit ribosomal RNA
Source: RNAcentral